GUUUUGCCAUUGCCAGCUCAACCUGAAUGUUCUGAGAAAGUGGAAUGGAAAACAUAAAUGUAGUUUUUACUGAAGUCAGAUUUGCAAAUAGAUGCAACUCAACCCAUAGUUUGCAUUUAACAUUUGAACACAUAAGAGCUUAAAAUAAUUUUUGUUGCAGUGGAGCAUCUGUUAAAUAAUCAGAGCUUGAAUUAAUAGGGAUCUGAAAACAGUUACCUGAAGGUUACAAACUAAUUAGUAUAAUAAUAAUAAUACUAAAGUAGUCCUUCCAUAACCUAAAUUGCAGUUUUCAUGGUAAACACGCAUUAUUUUAAAGGACCUCAAAAUCUUUGUUUGGAGAAAUAAAAGGAGUCAAGGGGAAAUGUAAAGUUCAAGAAAUUACACUGAACUGACCAAGGAUUAACAAAUAAUUUAUAUCUAUCUAUGUAUACUUGAAAUAGCCUUCCAUUUGGGGUUUUAGCUUUUUUGUCUCACAUCAGGUCAAAAAGUGGUGUUUUCGCUCUUCAUAUCCGUACAGUGAAAUCUCCUUGGAAACAAAUGCAGCAGUUUAAUUGAAGAAGGUUCAUUAUAACUGAAGUAAGUUGUUAAUGUUGUGGAUGAUAUUGAGAGAGACCAGCUUGCUUCCUUUGACUUCACUGCCUGCUAUGAACACGUUUGUGCCUUCAUUAAGGUCUUCCUCUACAAGAUGGGCUUGAGCUCUGAAUUUUUAGCAUUGCAGCGCUGAUCUCCAGGAGUGAAGCUACAGAGGUAACUCCAACUGGGCAGGACAAGACAACUACAGCUCAGAGAUGGGGGAUGCUGAGUUAUGAGCUGUUUGAUCAAGGAAGAGUAGCUGGGAUAGCUAGUUGAUUCUUCCUUGUAUUGUACAAAUAAGUGCGGUCUCUUCUCUCGAGGUCUCCCAGCACAGACCUUGGUCUAACAGCUUUGUGUACCAUCAUUAUUCUUUGACUUGCUACCAAAAAGAGGACCCUCAGAAUUAAAAGGGAAAGAAUAAUUUUUCUUCGUGUUAUCUGACUGCCAAACAAUAAAGGCAGCUUUCUCUGGCUAACUGACUUCCA
Molecule: long non-coding RNA, 1058 nt
Filed under: Phasianus colchicus (ring-necked pheasant)
Lineage: Eukaryota; Metazoa; Chordata; Aves; Galliformes; Phasianidae
Description: lncRNA (ENSPCLG00000004438.1)
Source: RNAcentral